ACGAAAAAUAACGAUACGGGACUCAUCCGAGGCCCCGUAAUCGGAAUGAGUACACUCUAAACCCUUUAACGAGGAUCAAUUGGAGGGCCAGCCUGGUGCCAGCAGCCGCGGUAAUUCCAGCUCCAAUAGCGUAUAUUAAAGUUGUUGCGGUUAAAAAGCUCGUAGUCGAAUUUGUGUCCCGCGCCGCCGGUUCAUCGCUCGCGGUGUCAACUGGCGUGUCCGCGGGACGUCCUGCCGGUGGGCUUAGCCUCUGCGGAGGCGGCCCAAUCUCAAUCCCACCGCGGUGCUCUUCACUGAGUGUCGAGGCGGGCCGGCACGUUUACUUUGAACAAAUUAGAGUGCUUAAAGCAGGCUAAAACAUCGCCUGAAUACUGUGUGCAUGGAAUAAUGGAAUAGGACCUCGGUUCUAUUUUGUUGGUUUUCGGAACCCCGAGGUAAUGAUUAAUAGGAACGGAUGGGGGCAUUCGUAUUGCGACGUUAGAGGUGAAAUUCUUGGAUCGUCGCAAGACGGACAGAAGCGAAAGCAUUUGCCAAAAACGCUUUCAUUGAUCAAGAACGAAAGUUAGAGGUUCGAAGGCGAUCAGAUACCGCCCUAGUUCUAACCAUAAACGAUGCCAGCUAGCGAUCCGCCGACGUUCCUCCGAUGACUCGGCGGGCAGCUUCCGGGAAACCAAAGCUUUUGGGUUCCGGGGGAAGUAUGGUUGCAAAGCUGAAACUUAAAGGAAUUGACGGAAGGGCACCACCAGGAGUGGAGCCUGCGGCUUAAUUUGACUCAACACGGGAAACCUCACCAGGCCCGGACACCGGAAGGAUUGACAGAUUGAGAGC
This 828-nucleotide ribosomal RNA is filed under the name Canthonella sp. sp127. RNAcentral describes it as "SSU rRNA". It matches the Rfam family "Eukaryotic small subunit ribosomal RNA", at positions 470 to 1255 of the family's 1831-position model. Lineage: Eukaryota; Metazoa; Arthropoda; Insecta; Coleoptera; Scarabaeidae. The record is from RNAcentral.